AAGGACUCUAAGAUGAAACUGUCACACGUACACGAUGGAAGGAGGCCAACUGACAGCAGAAAUUUCUGACAGUGGGUGUGAAUAUUGUUCUCAAAGUGCUGCCAUACAUCUAUCUCUGGAGAAUUCUCUCAAUGAACAAGUAGAAAUUUGAGGCACCGAAGGCAAAAAGACUUGAACAGCCACCUUCCAUUGUAUCUUGGGAAAGUCAACUGAACUUCCUUGGAUCUCAGACAUUACUUCCGCCAAUUGAAUUAAUACUACCUCAGAAAGAAGUUCUUGCUGUGCACUGGAAGUUCCAUUGGAAGCAUCACUUGGAAGCAUCAGCACCUGGAAGCGAGCACCUCCUCUAGAAGCAACUCCUCUUCAGCGUCUGUGUUCUACAAAGCGUGGCCUCCGGACCAGCAGCAUCGGCCGCAUCUAGAAACUUGUUGAAAAUUCUUGGUCUCCACCCCCUCGUUUCUGCAUCAGAGAUGCUGGUGUGGAGCCUGAGAUGUGUACUUUAACAGGCUCUCCAGGUGAUAGAAGUUUGAGAACUACUGUUAAACACUCUUCUGUGAACCGUAUAUCCGCAACAUGUGAAUCUUGCUGCACUUUCCACUCACCCUUAUCAGU
Capra hircus (goat) is the source of this 612-nucleotide long non-coding RNA. RefSeq lists it as uncharacterized. The transcript is spliced from 3 exons. Lineage: Eukaryota; Metazoa; Chordata; Mammalia; Artiodactyla; Bovidae. The record is from RefSeq and is a predicted model, not a curated record.